GGGCGCGUAGCUCAGCUUGGAUAGGCCAAAGCUGCAAAGCAGCUUUACGGGUCCGUAGCACUUGCCUUCUAAGCAAGGGGUCGCGGGUUCGAAUCCCGUCGCGCCCA
This 107-nucleotide transfer RNA is filed under the name Candidatus Aenigmatarchaeota archaeon. RNAcentral describes it as "tRNA-Arg". It matches the Rfam family "tRNA". Rfam says of the family: Transfer RNA (tRNA) molecules are approximately 80 nucleotides in length. Their secondary structure includes four short double-helical elements and three loops (D, anti-codon, and T loops). Lineage: Archaea; Nanobdellati; Candidatus Aenigmatarchaeota. The record is from RNAcentral.